GACGAACGCUGGCGGCGUGCUUAACACAUGCAAGUCGAACGGAAAGGCCCUGCUUUUGUGGGGUGCUCGAGUGGCGAACGGGUGAGUAACACGUGAGUAACCUGCCCUUGACUUUGGGAUAACUUCAGGAAACUGGGGCUAAUACCGGAUAGGAGGUCCUGCUGCAUGGUGGGGGUUGGAAAGUUUCGGCGGUUGGGGAUGGACUCGCGGCUUAUCAGCUUGUUGGUGGGGUAGUGGCUUACCAAGGCUUUGACGGGUAGCCGGCCUGAGAGGGUGACCGGCCACAUUAAGACUGAGAUACGGCCCAGACUCCUACGGGAGGCAGCAGUGGGGAAUAUUGCACAAUGGGCGGAAGCCUGAUGCAGCAACGCCGCGUGCGGGAUGACGGCCUUCGGGUUGUAAACCGCUUUCGCCUGUGACGAAGCGUGAGUGACGGUAAUGGGUAAAGAAGCACCGGCUAACUACGUG
RNAcentral lists this ribosomal RNA (468 nucleotides) under uncultured bacterium. Its description in RNAcentral is "partial 16S ribosomal RNA". It matches the Rfam family "Bacterial small subunit ribosomal RNA", at positions 28 to 507 of the family's 1533-position model. The record is from RNAcentral.